Molecule: long non-coding RNA, 800 nt
Organism: Chelonia mydas (Green sea turtle)
Lineage: Eukaryota; Metazoa; Chordata; Testudines; Cheloniidae
Exons: 3
Source: RefSeq, a predicted model, not a curated record
UCCAGAGCAGCUGGAUGAGCAUGAUGGUGAUGAGAUAGGAGAGCAGCUCCUGCUUGCUGAUGCCCACGGCAUGCACAGCCCAGGCGAACAUGAGCAGCAGCCCGGCUAGGAACAAGUUGAUGCCGUACUGGCUGCUCAGGAUCUCAGCGUUUUUCUGCGGGCAGCUGCUUCCCACCAAGCGGCUGCCUCCUGGCUGCCCUGGGGGCCCCUGCGCCGACUUCUCCAUCUCCCACUCCUCCGGCUGCCGGCUGCUUGGAGCACAGCACCAUCACCACAUAAGUCCCAGUGCCGGGCAGAAGAAGCCGUCUCUUACCAAGAAUGCGUGUUUUAGAAAUCGUGGAAAGGCUGAGAGGAAACAUGGACUCCUUCACCACCCCCAUGAGAACUUCAGACUUUGUUUUAGCCCUGAUAGCCUUCGACCAUUGCUGGAGAAAGCGCUACAUCAGCGACAGUUUCAAGGAGGAGUAGGGAGCGGCUGAGGGGAGCCCUUUGGCCCAGCCCUUGAUGGAUAUGCCGGAACCCAAACCCAAAAUCCAACUGCUCGUGAGACACCCUGAUGAGCGUGGUGGCCUCUCGUCGUCAACCCGCCUGGAGGAGGAAGGCAAACGCAACUUGGGGGAGUCACCGUCAGACAAGGUGAACGGAAAAGAUGUCGGUCAGCUCAACGAUGCCUUGCUUGAGGACCCGGAGGCCCUGAACAGCAUUGCAUCAAGCAGCGAAGAUGAACUGGGCCUGCCUUGUUUUUGUUCAACGCUGAUAUAAAUUGUUGAAGAGAACUCCAAGGAUGAUGACUAUGAGGA